UACGUAGGUGACCAGCGUUGUCCGGAUUUACUGGGCGUAAAGAGCGUGCAGGCGGUCGUUCAAGUCGAGUGUGAAAGCCCCCGGCUCAACUGGGGAGGGUCACUCGAUACUGAUCGACUUGAAGGCAGGAGAGGGAAGCGGAAUUCCCGGUGUAGUGGUGAAAUGCGUAGAUAUCGGGAGGAACACCAGUGGCGAAGGCGGCUUCCUGGCCUGUUCUGACACUGAGGCGCGACAGCGUGGGGAGCAAACAGG
Molecule: ribosomal RNA, 252 nt
Filed under: uncultured bacterium
Lineage: Bacteria
Description: partial 16S ribosomal RNA
Rfam family: Bacterial small subunit ribosomal RNA
Source: RNAcentral